RNAcentral lists this long non-coding RNA (14677 nucleotides) under Gossypium barbadense (sea-island cotton). Its description in RNAcentral is "long non-coding RNA (GBAR_LNC009482)". The record is from RNAcentral. Lineage: Eukaryota; Viridiplantae; Streptophyta; Magnoliopsida; Malvales; Malvaceae.
CUCAAUCAUCCACUUCUUCUCUUCUUUGAACUCAAAGUCCCAGCUAAUAUUAGAAUCAUGGGUGUUGUCACUUAUGACUAUGAGAAUACCUCCCCAGUCGCCCCUGCCAGGCUUUUCAAGGCCUUUACUGUUGAAGCUCCGAAAGUUUGGCCCACGGCUGCACCAAAUGCAGUCAAGAGCAUUGAGGUUGAAGCUAAUCCUAGCUCUGGAAGUAUAGUAAAAAUCAACUUUGUUGAAGGUUAGUUCUUUCAUUUUCAUUUUCAUUGGCCUUUUUGUAGUCUGUUUUACACGAGUAUGUUGUAUAACAAGUAUUGAUUUCUUUAGGCCUUCCAUUCCAAUAUAUGAAGCACCAGAUCGGAGGACAUGAUGAAAGUAAUUUUUCAUACAGUUACGAUUUAAUCGAAGGUGGGCCUUUGGGGGAUAAGCUUGAAAAAAUUAGCUAUGAGAACAAGUUUGAGGCAGCUGCAGGUGGAGGAAGUAUUUGCAAGAGCUCAAUGAAAUUCUACACUGUUGGCGAUAAUGUUAUCACUGAAGACGAAAUCAAGGCUCUCAUUAAAGGGAGUGAAGGAGUUUACAAGCCUGUUGAAGCUUACCUCUUGGCUAAUCCCGAAGCCUGCAACUAGGAUAUAAGUUGCUUUAAAUUCUUAUGCUUGCUUUUAAAGAGGGGUUUGAUUUUAAUGUUGUGCUUUUGAUAUUUUCUUUUUCAUCUUAAAACCUAUAUUGUCUUCUGGUUGUUCAGUAAGAAUGAUGGUGGUGGUGAUCGAACUUUGAUCAUCUUUGAUAUAUAAUGAAAUAAAUAAAUAUAUAAACUGGCAAAAAAAAAAUCUUUACCCAAUAUAUAUUUUACAGGUUUCAUGGAAGACUACAAAUUUUCUUUUAUAUAACUUUUGGGUUAGCAAAACUUUGAGCUAAACAUUUUUUUAAUUGAAUUUAUAUUCAAAAUUUUAAAAAAAAAUCGUCUGACGCUUUAUAAUAAUAGCCUAAUCAUACAAUUUCUUUUUUUUAAUAAAAUAAUAAUAUUAAGCGAAAAUAAUAAAAUCACCAAUCCUAUUAAAGAUAGCACUUUUAAGUUAUACUAUAUUAUCUACAAGGAUAUUUACAUUAAAUAAUCAAUGUCACACAAUUGCAACGAUCAAAUUUAAAUAAAAAUAUUACAAAAAUCAAAUGAAUUUUUUUUUAGGUUUUCCUUCUAGUUUAAUGCUCAUUACAUUUCUCUUCCACGAAAUAUAGUUAUUAUUAGAAAUAAUUGUUUCUUCACUUGUAUUUUUUUAUUGCAACAUGACCAAUAACAAGUUAUCAACAAGUUGAAUAUGGAUUUUAAGGUUUCAAGAGUUGAAAAUUUAUGUAUAUAUAUUUAUGAAAUUAGGCUUAAUGUAUCAUUUGCCCUUUUAAGUGUCUUGUAAAUGGAAAUAAAUUUAGACCAAAUAGAAUUCAUCAUCGAUUAUUAUUUUUUAUCUUUAAUUAAUUAAUUAUAAUUAAUAAAGAGAUAAAUUAAGAAAUUAAAUCUUUUUGGAACUCUUUUAUAAAUAAAUUGUUGAGUCCAAAUUGAUAUUUGAAGUCAGAAUCAAGCAGUGCUUAGAUCAGUUCUAACAGCUUCAGGCACUAGUAAUGAAAACUAUAGAAAAUAAUAAUAAAAACACAAUAGAUGUUUACAUAAUUCAAAUUCCCUACAUCUAUGAGGCUUUGCCCAUUCACUAUCGUAGCUCAUUGGACAAUAAGUGUUUCCAAGCACUAACACUCACCAAUUUAGACUUUUCACUUUUGUACUAAGAUCUAAAUAUCUCCCUCUAAGUUUUCCUUGAAAACUUAGGAAACUAACCAAAUCACACACUUGAUUAUUAUAGUUUAAUGCACUCACAAAAACGUUCCUUACUUGAACAAAAUAAAGUGCUCCCACUAAGUAUGUAACAUCCCAAAAAUUGAGGGUUAGUAGAAUCAGGUUUGGGAAUCAAGAGAGAGUGGUCAUGCCCUAAGUUUUGAGAUUAUCUAUACAUUUUUUAAGAAAUAUAUGAGGUAUUGAUUUGUUGGUUAAGUGUUAGUGAAACGUUUCUUAAAACUCAAGUUCAAAUCCAUUCUCUCUCACCAUUUUUAUUAUUUUGUAAAUUUUGUCUUAAACCCUAGUAUGUGACAUACCUUGUUUUUAAAAUAACUUGCAAAGUUCAAAUUUUUUCCCUUGCAAAAUUUAAUCCCUUUUUUUUAAUGUGUAUGCCAUUCAUACCCUUGAACCCUAAGUAUAAAUACAAAUUUUUAUUAUAUUUUUCAACCUUUAAUUCAAAUUUCCCUACCCUAUCCGUUCACCAUCCUCCUCUCCUCUUUUCUCUUCAAUUUUCUUUCUUUCUCCCAUUGUUGUUAUCUCCUACACCUCCCAUUUUACCAUAUCUUUCUUCUUCUUUUUACAUCAAGAUUGUGCACCAUCUCCUUUAUUCUAAUGCUUCCAUUUAUCAUCAUCUAAAUCAGCCCCAAAUCUGAAAUCUUGAACCCCAAGAUCAAUCCUGAACAUUGCCAAGAAAGUGUCAUUGUCGUUUCUCUCAAUUAGCUUGGGUAAGAUCUCCUUUCUCUUCAACUUCUUGAUUAAUAUUUUCAAUUAAAAACCAAAAUUUAUAGAUAUUGAAUUUGGGGGAUUUUAAUGAGAUCUCAAACCAUUUUAAAAUUCAGCCCCAAUUUUGGCCACCAUGGGUGGUGGUGCGUGCGCCUAUGUGCAAGAAAGGGGGUUGUUUUGUUUCUUGGGUCUUGCUAAUAUUUUUUCCAGUAUUAAAUUGUGUUCUUGAAACCUUAUAAUCAUCCUUUAAUCACAUGUUAGUUAGGUAGAGACGUUCUUGAUCAAUUAGACAAUCAGGUUCCACAAAUCAUGAAGCGUAAGUGUAAUUAAGGGUAACUAGUUUGUUAUUUCGAUAUAGUUGUAGGGUAAAAGUUAUGAAUUGAUUAAAUGAAGGAAUUUAAUCCUUAAUUAUCUACUUAUUUUCCAGUAUAUUAUUGAAUUAGGUGCUAACCUAAAUGGCCUAAAUCAUCCGUAAAUGUGAAGAAUGAUUGUAUGUACGGUUCGCAUCGAUACAGUGUAAGGAAUCUAACUAGUUUUGAUUCAUAAAAUAGUUAUAAUUUCAAGGAUUGGUUUGAACUCGUAAGUGUGUUUUUGGGGGAUGAUUUAAUGGUAUAUUUAUUUAAUUUAUAAUAAAUUUUGGUUUAGGUUUGUUUAAGGAAUUAUUAAGGAAAAUUGGAAGAUUUGCUAAUGUGCUGCGAGGAAGCGAAAAAUAAGCUAUAGGUCCUAAACUCAUCAAAAUUGUUUGAAAAUCUUAAAUAUCAUGUUAUAUUUGAUAAAUUAGUUUGCUGAUUGGAUUGGCUUAAUAUCCAAAUUAUUUAUUUUGUGAGUGACCGAACCAGGUAUGUUUCGAGCCUUAAAAGAUUGACAUGUUGACAAAAUUGCUAGUUUGAUAGUAUGAAUUUUUUUAUUGAGUUUGUAAUUGCAUAUUUGAGUUACGAUAUAUGAGAAUGUUUGACUGAAUGAUAUAAUGUGUUGAGAUAUUAAUCUUAUGUAUGAUUUAAAUGCAUGAGAUAUUUAUUAUAUUAUAUACUGAAAAGGGUGCUAUUUCUACACAACGAAAAUCCAUAAAGUAUGUGAAAUUGAAUGAUAUUCAUUAAUACCAAUACAAUGGUAAUUUGAAAGAUUGGAACACUGCUUCCAUUUACUGAAAGUAUGUGAUUAUUGAGGACAUGCAAAGCAUGUCAAAUGAAUGUGAAAAGUAUUGAGAUAUGAUUAUGUAUGAGAUUGUGUGACAUAUUGCAUAUGCAUUGAGUUGGGAUUUUGUGGUUGAUGGAGGAGUUCCGUGGAGUGCCGGCGACAUAUUAAGUCCGCAUUAUUCGUAGUCAGUGCACUGCACCUAGAGUACCGAAGGGAAUGACGAUUUAUCGCAUGUUUACUGACAACUUGUCUGUAUUUUUAUUGGCAAAAUUUUCGGCAUAUUGUUAUCAGUGGUUUUAACCACAACGGGCUUAAGCCUAUAAUGUUUUAGAGUUCGGAUGACAGGUUCUGGAGAACUCGUGGUGUGUAGCAAAUGGUAUGGGUAGGAACUUUUUUGCAUUGUAUUAUGCUCAAGACAUAUCCGAAUGUUAUUGAUUUAUGUUACGUACUGUAUUGAAUGGUAUCAAAAUUAAUGAUUAUUACUUGAAUGACACACCAUUUGACAUCAAUUUGUUAAUGGCUAUGUAAUGAUAUGAAAUUCCUAUGAUGGUUUUGUUUUCUUCUGUUAAAGCUAAUCUAUUUCACUGUAUUCGAUAUUUAUGUUUGUUUAAAUAAUUGUUUGACUCACACUGAACUUUUCAUACGCUCACCCCAAAAUAGUGUUUAACUUUUCAGGUAAACCUCAAAAUUAGGACUGGACUCGGCAUACGAAGAAUCACCUUGGACCUUGGACUAUUCUUAAUAAGUAUUAUUAAGUCUUUAUUGGUUUUGACUUGUAUUAUUUAAUUAUUUCUAGUCUGUGGCUUGAUAACUUUUCUUUUGGGGAUUUUUUUACAUGUAUGAAUUACUCAAGCAUAAUAACCGAAUAAUGCAUGAUAUCGAGCUUAAGUAAAAUUUGAUAUUGUUCCCUAGUUUUCGCUACAUUACAAAAUGAACCAUUUUUGAAAAACAUAUCGAUAAGGCAACUAAGUUUCCAAAUUGACUUGAAAAAUAGUUUUUUUUUUAUAAAAAAGAGGAACAAACAAACAGUUUUUCUAAAACAACACUAUCAAUAAUAAAAUGAAUCCUAAGUAUACACGACCUAAUGAAUGAAUGCUUUUAAGUUAACUUAAAGUACAACUAUGAUUUUCUCCAAAAUGAGUUUAUUUAAAGACUUCAAAAGUAACGUAAGCUAGCUUAACCAUUUCUAUGGCUAAUGUAGCCUUCUCAAUUUAGCCAUAAUGUCUAGGCCGGGUUUGGAAGGUUACAAAGCACGUAACCUAUACAGGUCUUCACUAGGGGUAAACUAGCAAGUCGAGCUUGAAUACUGUCAAGCUCAUCUUGAAAUUUGGAGCUCUAUACUUGACUCAAGCUCGAUUUAGCUUGUUUGCCAAUUUUUAUACUCAAGCUCGAACUCGAGCUGGAGUUCGACUCAAUAAUUAAGCUAGGGUUAAUAAUAUAUUAAGGGUAAUAAUGUGAUUUAAUAAUAUAAAUGUUGGGAAAUUUUUUUGUUUGAAAACGAUUUUCUUGUACAGCAGAAAAUUAAAAUUUUGAGGUCCACCCGGUUUGUGAUAUUUAUAGCAAUAAAUAUUAAAUUGAAUUCGCACAUAUGUUUUCGAGUAGACGGAUCCUUAUGAUUCCUGACUUUCACCCAAACGGCAUUCUCCACUAUUCUCGUACCACUAGCAUAUUGGAUGAGUGAAAACUAGUAACACUAGUACACAUAUUGAUCAAGUAAUAAAGUGAAGAGCAUAUAUUAUUUCCAUGAAAAUCAAAUUCUAAGUUGCUUAGUAACAACUAUUCAAUUUUUAUUCAAUCCAAAUUAAUAAAAUAAAUUUUAAUUACUAUUAAAAUUAAACUAAGUUAAUUAAGAAGACUUUAUUAAACUAAAACAAAGAAAAUUUAUAUAUUAAAUCCAAUAUGGAAAAAUUAAAUGUUCAUUCACCUCCUUUAUCAAUACAAGAUAUUAGGGUGUAAGAUAUUCUAUAUUCUAAAAAAAAUUGUGCGUUUCAUACUUACCACGAUGGGAAUGGACAAACUAAGCAGUUAGGUUGCCCUGGGAUUGAUCUUAAUUAUUAUCCUUAGUACAAUAAUUUGACGGUAUUUAUAUUAUAUUCUAUUUUAACAACACUAUUAUUAUUAUAAUCAACAACGUUCUUCGCAGGCUACUUGCUUUCUGGAUAGUCCAAGUCUUCCCACGAAUUUAUCAGUAAUUCUAUUCUAUUCUAUUUGUUUACUUUUCUCAUUACGAUAAUAAAAGUUGCAUUCUAAUGUAAUAUUUGCCUCAAAAUUACACUCAAUUAUUACUUUAGUAUUUAAAGAAAUUUUUUUAGGUAUGUCAAAUUUCCAAACAUCAAGCAUAUUAUUCCCUUACUGCCAUUACCCAAAAAGAUAUAAAGAAAAAGAUGUGGCAUUCUGGGAGUGCAUCAUGUCACCCAAUUUUAUGUUUUUUUCUGAAAUAAAUGUAAACAAAUGAAAAAAUAAGAAAAAAAUCAAGAAUUAUCUAAAAAAAAUUAAAAAUCAGGAAAAAUUAUAAAAUUUUCCAAUUUUUUUUUAAAAAUAAUUUUCCUUUUAAAAAACGUAAAGUACAAAAAAACAAAUAAUUAAAAAUAUAGAUAAAAAACACAGAAUAAUAUAGAUAUAUGUAUAGUACUUUUUAUUAACCUUGAAUUUUUUAUUUUAAAAAGAAAAAUUCUUUUUAAAUUUAUUUUUCCAAAAAAAUUUACUCAAGGCUUGCACUUAUUUUCUUAAAAAUAAUUAUGAUCUCAAUUCUAUAAACUAAAUUGUAACCUUUCCAACUUGAUCUAAACGUUGUGACCGAAUUUGGAAGAUUAUAUUGACCACCGAAAUAGCCUAAUAAAACUAUCGGAACUUACAAAAUAGUCAUUUUAAAAUUUUUAUUUAUUUUUGAAGAAAACUUAACAUGUUAUCUUCUUUUUACUAAACAAUAUAAUUUAUUUCCAAAAUGAUAGAUAUUAAGGUUUUCUUAGCGAAGGUUGAUUUCCAAUUUUAUGAAUAAAUAUAUAUCUUUUUUUCAAAAACUAUUCGCUUAGUAAUGCAGCAAAAAAGUGAUAUUUAACAUAAUUUUAAUGAAAAUUAGAUUUUAUGUAAAAGUAAAUCAAGUUCCAUAUUUCAGCAAUCCUCAAAUCAAAGUAAAUGUCAUGCAUGCCAAAUAAACCCAAAACCUAAGUCUCAUACCAUAGUUCAAAUAAAACAAUAUAGUCUCUCAAUAACAGAAAUUUCAAAUAAUAAGUCUAGAAUACUUUUAUUGAAAAAAAAAACAAUCUAAGCCAAGCCCUCCAAAUGCCAAGUCUGUGUCCUAACAUGAUGGUUUAUCUGUAAAGAUGAAAAUAAAGGGGAGUGAGCUUAAAAAACUCAGUGUGAUUCCAAUCACAAGAAGGUCAAUGCAAAUAGUAAAUGAAGCACACAAAAUAACAAUUCUCAUAACAAUCACACUCAUAUAGCGAUUCAGAGUAUUUGGUCCUUAGAUCAACACAUUCAAUAUAAUAUUUUAGAAUUCAUAGUUAUGCAUGCACGUGCUUUUGAAUAGAGGUGCAAUUUCAAGUUAUUAGAGAAAAUCUUACUUAAGUCCGCUACACACCACAAUAAGGGUUCCUUAGUGCUCAUUCAUCCCUACACACCACGUUGUGGAUGAACCAUUAGUAAUUGUAGAUGAACUACCAGUAAUAAAAAUUAUGGAUGAACCACAAAAACUUUUAGAUAAAAAGUUUGCAGACAAGCUGCCAAUAUGUUAUGGAUGAACAACUAGUGUUUGCAGAUUAUUAAACUGUCAAUUAUUCUUCCGCUCGUAUCCUCCCACCCCAUGCAAUGCAAUAUGACAUGCUUAUAAUAGAUUAGUACGGUGGCAGUAGAUAUGCUUAACGUAUUUGGUUCAACACUAGCAGUAGGCAUGCUGAACAUACAAUCAAUGAUAUAGUGGCAGAAUUAACAAUAUAGUUUAUCAGAAUUACAGUGAUAGUAGGCACAUAUCAUUCACAUAUCAUGCAUAUAACAGUAGUAAUUUAGCCAUUCAGAUAAUAGUUUCCAAAAUAUGCAUAUUAUCAGGGAUUCAAUUGAGUGAAAUAAAACUCUAAAAAUAGUUCGGGGACUAUAUAGGGACUGAACAGAAUAAUUCAUAAAUUUCAUGGAAAAAUUGUAAAAUAGGGUCACAUGGCUGUGUGAUCAAGCUUGUGAGGAGGCUAAGAUCGUGUGGGAAGGGUAUACAGUCAUAUGGCCAGGCUGUGUAACAAACUGAGGUCAUGUGACAAAUGCUAAAGUUACCCUACAGGAGGGAAACAACUGUGUGGAAGGGUUGUGGUCAUGUGGUUCACAAACAAGCCUAGGAUUUACAAGGGCACAUGGUCAUGUGGUCCACACACCUAUGUGGGAGAUUGUGUGGCCCUAAAUCUACACAAGAGCACCACCUAUUCACUUGGAAAAGAACACACACCUUUCAUCACGGGUUUGGUUGACGUUCCUCACGCUCGAUUUUGGUCUGAUUCACUUAAAUCCAUUCCUUCAAACGAAAUUUACACACAAAUUAAUAGUUGGUAUCAAGAUUUGACAAUAUUUACAAAAGAUUUGACUAGAUUUCGAGUAAAUUGAUUAAUCGAACCAAAAGAUUAACAUCGUACAUUAAUAGUAUGAAAAUAUGGGAUUUAAUCCUUAAAAUGGAACACACUUACUGAUUAUUAGUAAAGGUAAUGGAUGUUAUUUGAUGAUAACUCUAACACUAUUAAGAAAAAAAAGAAAUGGGGAUUGAUUCGAUAGGAGAAAGAAAAAUAAUCAAUAGUUCAAAUGUUAAAAUAUGAUGCAAGUAUGAGAGAAAAGAAGAGGAAAAGAAAAGGGAAAGAAAAGAAAUAAAAGAUGAAGAGGAGUUUUACUAAAAUUUUGAAAAGAGGCAAACUUAAUCUAAAUGGAAAAGGAUGGUUAAAUAGCUAGGGUUUGAAACCCUAGGGGCAACAAGGGUAAUUUCCCCAAAGCUGGCAAAAUUCAAAAGAAAAAUGAGUGGGGAAGGAGGUAGCUUAAACCUAGGACCUAUAGGAUAAAAGAGUAACACUUAACCAUUAGACCUAUCACCCAUUUCUUAUUUAGUUUUAAUUCCCGACCGUAUAUAUUUUGAGUGUGACUUUACCCUAAGUUGUCGAAAAUAAAAUGGGAGGAAGGGAGCUCGAACUUUUGGGUCUUUAGGGAGGACUUUCUAUUACUUAACCGUUAAGCCUAAUUCAAUUCUUAUUUAACCAUUUCGAUUAACCCCCUAUAUUUUGGGGCAUGACAUAAAUAAUAGUAAAUUAUUCUUAUACUUAAUUGAACUUGAAAGCUUGUCUAAAUUUUAGAUUUACCUUAAUUUCAUUUGAAUCAAAUUAAAAAAAUUAAAAUGUUAAAUAAGUAAAGGGUAAAUGUAAUUCAAAAUGAAUGUCAUUCAAAUGGCAAAUAAUCUCAACAUUGCAAACAAUCUCAACAUUGUAUUUUAACUCUAAAAAUUUUGAUUUGUAACCAACUUAUAAUUCUUUAAAUUUGAAAUAAAUCAAAUAAAAAAAAUAGUCUAACGACUUCUAUCUAAAUUGAUCAAACUCAAAAGCAUUUAAAUUUAAAAUAAUUAAAAUAAAAAUGAACUCACAUCUAAAACAGAAAAGGUUGAUCAAAGAAAAUUAUGACAACUACGAAUUCAUUUACAUGGAAUUUUAUGGCAAUGGUAGCUUCAGCUUGGAAUCUAAAAUUAUUGAAAAACAAACAUGACAAUCUGUAAGGUUAAAUCCCAAAGCGUUUUGUACAAUUUAAUUUAAUUCUUAAGUCUUGACAAGCCUCGAAAGAACCAAUUCCAUAUAUAUUGUGUAUUUAAAAAAAACAUGAUAUGUGCUAAAAGUAACAUGUUUUAUUCUCAUUCUUAAUGCGUUUUUGGGUGAUUAUCCGAUGUUAAAUUUGAAUUUUGUACUCAUAAUCCUUUGAAUUCAUGUUUUAUGCUUAAUAGAGCACUUAGGAGCAAAAAGAGCAAAAAACAAGCGAAAGUCAGAGCGUCGGAGCAAGUUGAUGGAGCCAUACGGGCUGAACCAUUUCACAUGGCUAGACAAUACAGCCAUAUAACCCACACAGGCAUGUGGUAGGGCACGUAAUGCCCUAAACCCGGCCCAGAUGUUAUGGCUGAAUAUGGCGAAGUCACAUGAGAAUGUAUUUAAAACCGUGUUUACCCAAAAACUGUUCCAGUUACCACCUUUUACUUAACUCAGAGAACAUAUAUUGAUUAAUUUGCUUGAAAACAUUUCUUAGUUCGCGGAAGCUUACGAACAAAUAAAGUUGCAGUUCCAAAAUCCAUAAACAAUAUUUCAAAAUUCCGAAGCUAAAUCAAAUAGUCUAAAACCAGAAAUUACAUAAUUACUCUCAACUAUAGCAAUUAAAAUAAUAAAAACAUUAAAAGCCUUUAGAACCAAAGUGUAUAUAGCAGUGGUUACCGUCGAGCCUUUCCGCUGCACCGAUCCACCUACUGCUGGGGAUUACCUGAUAGACAAACAAAAUAAGAGGUGAGUUUUCACAAACUUAGUGUGUACAUCCCCACAGUAAAACAUGCAUGUAAAUGGAUAGCAGUCAAACAGUCAUAAUCAAGCUUGAGCUCUUAACAGAAACAGUGUAGGCCUUAGCCCACUCAGAACAGUAUUAGAUACAUCUGGGUCUUAGCCCAUACAAACAUACAUGUAUAUCAAUUAGAACAGUAAUGCCCACAAACCCUGUACACCAUCUCCGUCCAACCCAACAUACCAUGUGGGGAUAAAAUCGACCCACCCAGCCCUACAUCUCAAGUUAGGGAUAAAAUCAACCCAUCCAACCCUACACACCAAGUGGUACCAUAUACGACACGUAUCAGAUAUAUGCAGCAUAGCUGCCAGAUGACAGGCUUAUAGCCUCUCAGUCUUCCUUCUUUUCAACAACAUGUGCAACCCAAUGUAAUGCAACAUAAAUAAUAAGGCAUGCUCAUGUGCAAAUAUCAAAUCAUAACAUCAUCAUCAAAUCAGAACAGAUACACAUGCUUUAAUUAUCAUGCUUUUACAUACAUAUUAGUAUCAAAUCAGAGUAUAGGGGUCUAAGUAAUGCUUACCAACCCUACAAUCAGGUCACGAUAGACUUGGGCGACCCGUGCAACCUUACAGAACAUUUCAAACAAAUCGGGCUCACACGCUCAUAUGGGCCCACACGCCCGUGUGGCUCACACAGCCCAGAUUGGCCUCGCCCGUGUGGAUCACACGGCCUGGCCCAAGAUCCCACAUGUCCACGUGGCCCACACGGCCUAAUUGGUCAAGCCCGUGCCUCAGACACGGCCUCGCCAGCUUUACACGCAGUGUUCGUCGUGCCCGUGUGGCACGCACACAGCCUACUUUGUCGACCACACAGCCGUGUUUCACCGUACGACCUCUACACGGGCAGUCCACACACCCAUGUAGCGUCGACAACAGCAUUUUCAGCUUUUGCCGAAACACGGUUUCAGAUCGAUUGGAGUACAACCUGGUUUCGAUUGAAGCCUAACGCAAUCCCGAGCACUCCAGAACCUAUAUUCCAUAAUGUCAUGACCUAUUUCAGUCACUUAAACAAUUUUUUGAUUGAAACUAAACGAGGUAUUCCGCCCUGAAAUCGUUAAAUUUCUUACCUCAAGCGAAAACCAGCGAAUACAACGCGCUUAAUUCACUGUUCAGGAACGAAGAACAGCCCUUGAUCAGUACCCAAACACCCAAAGAAAAUUGCCCCUUAAUAUCUUAAUCAAACAAUGUUUAUGAACGACAAGUAGAAACUUACCAAUGAAGAGAACGUCAAUGCAGAAGCCCGUUAAUACAAAAUCAAAACGAAUGGGAGGAAGGCAAGGGAAAUUUCGGCAAAAAGAAAAUAAAAAGAACAUGGAGAGGAGAAAAAUAGUAGAGAAUUUCAGUAGAGAGAGUUCUUUUGGGGAAACUACUCAGAAAAAUCUGAUAAACCCUACCACUUCAGUAUUUUAGCUCACCUCCAAUUCUAUCUAGGCCUUAAUGGCAAAAAUAAUGCCCAAACCAGGAUUCAAACACAGGACCUCUAGCAUAAACCCUUGCCACUUAACCACUAGACCAGCAGGUCCAUUCUGUUAAGUUUUUACCAAUAAAUUCUUAUAAGCCCAUUAACCAAAAGCCAGACUUUAUUAAAAUUAAAAAAACCAAAAUUUUGCCCAAGUUGAGACUUGAACUUGGGACUUCCCUAACACACACCCCAAAGCACUUAAACACAAAAGCAGAUAGAUAUUAUGCAAAUUCAUGCAAAAACUUAUUCAGAUAUUUUCCUAUGCUACAAUUUCACAAAAGCUGAAAUUACAGAAAUUUGGGGUGUUAUAGAGCAUGUUGAUUUCACAAGAUUGUGUGCUGAACAGCAAAAAAUCAUGAUUUUUAGGAAUUUUGGGCAUUCUAAGACGUAUAUAUGACAAAAAUAAGAAGAUAAGAGAGAGCCGUAAGAGAAUACUCAAGAAAACAACUCAAAAAACACCAUUGAAGCCGAUUUUGAGGUAAAUUUCCAUUAAGAUUGAAAACAGUUGAUUUCUCAGGGAGUUAUCAUGCGUUUCUUUAUUUCUUUCAAUUAUACUAUAUUUUUUAUUUUUCUCUAUCAAGUAUGAACUAAUUUCUAGAUACUUAGGGGAGAUGAACCCUAUGAUGGAUUAUGUUGUUUGAUUUUUUAUUUUACACAAUAAAUACUUAGUUUCUUAUUCUUAAUUAUGUGUGCUUAACCCUUGGUUUGAUAUUUCUAGAGUAUUAAUCCUUGUUCGAUGUGCUUAAAUAGGUGAUUGAAUAGACCCUGUUUAAGAUUAGAUCUUGCAUAAUUGAGUGAAGUUGCAUGCAAUCCUAUAAAUAAGAUGACAUAAAUCUACCAAAUUAGAGUCAAAUCUAAUGGAAAAAUCCAUAGCGGAGUUAAUGCAAUAAUAGAUGUUUUAAUUAGAAAAAAAUUCAAUUAAUUAAUCUAGAGUCAGUUGCUUUUAUACUUGAAAGAGAUAUUACCAUAAUUUAAGAAUUUUUACGGAUCAAGGUGUUAAGUAAAGAUAUUGCAUAAUUUAGAUUGGUAGUGACAGAUGAAAUCUAGGCGGAUUCUUUUCUAGGUAUUGUUUCAUUUCUUGGUUGUUAUUUGAUUAUUUUUACGAUUUGUUCUUUGUUGUGUUUCUUAGGUAAUAAAAUUAGUUAAUUUUAGUUUUAAUCAAUCAUUUGAAUUAUUGAAUUAAAUAAUAAAAAAUAGUAAUUACUAAUACUUGUAGUUCUCGUGGGAAUGAUAUCUUUGUUCACUGUAGUUAUAUUAUUAAUUGAUAGGUACACUUGCCUUAAUUAAAUUUUUAGCUAGUUUCGUAGACACCAGAACAUCUUUUUCAAUAUUUUUGAAACUUUUUUAUAAUUUUUGUAAAUUUUUUCUUUUUAUUUUUCUGCUAUUUUUUAAUUUUAUUUUUAAAAACUAUUUUUAAAAAAAAUAAAAAAAACCAUUCAAUGUUUUUAAAAAGUAAUAUAGAUAUUUAUAUAUCCAUAUUGUUCCAUGUUUUUUUUUCUAUAUUUUUAGUGAUUUUCCUUCUCUUUUUGAAUUUUCACUAUAUUUGAAUUUUAUGUUUUUUAGAAAGGAAAGUAUUUUGUUUUAGUUCCGGAAAAGUUUUAAAAUUUGUCUUAUUUUUUAUUUUCAUGAGAUUUUUCCUGUCAUUUUUUACCAUUUUUUUGAGUUUUUUUUUUGGUUUUUUUUUUUUGCAUUUAUUAAAAAAAAACAUAAAUUUGGGUGACGUAACAUGCCACAUAUUUUUUUUUCUAACGACAGAAAGAGUUGAAACAAAAUAUCUAAUGUUUGGAAAUUUCAUAUAUCAAACUGAUAAAAAAAUUUCUUUAAACACCAAGUGAUAAUUGAAUCAUCAAUACCACAUUAACCCUUUAUUAUAUUAAAAUUCUCAUUCUGUUUUCAUAUUCAAUGGCACUGAUUAACGUUACAUUUUAUUAAAAAAAAUUCAACCUAACACAAUUUAUUUUGAAUUUAAUAAAAACAGAUUCUUAAAAUAAUAAUUAAAUAAACUUUAAUCAAUGCUUAUAAACACAGUCAACACAUUUCGUCUAAAUAUUGAAGUAAGCAUUAUUGAAAAAAAAGCAAAUAAAUAAAGUAGAAGACAAACUGAUACAAUAUCUGAAGUCAUCAAUGGGAAAUUUACUAAGAACUUCUGGGAUGCUUAUUUUGACCAGUACCAAUUCAAUGAAAAUUAAUAACAAUAUUGGAUAUAAAUCCAAACUAAAAAAAUGAGAAUAGUAAAGUUCUUACACUUCAAGUUCAGUAUAUAAAUAGCAUCUUAGUUCUCUAUCAUCUCACACCUCAAUCACUCAAUCAUCCACUUCUCCUCUUUGAACUAAAAGUCUGAAUUAACAUUAAAAUCAUGGGUGUUUUCAGUUAUGAUUAUGAAACUACCUCCCCAGUCGCCCCAGCUAGGCUUUUCAAGGCUUUUACUGUUGAAGCUCCAAAGGUUUGGCCCACGGCUGCUCCUAAUGCAGUCAAGAGUAUUGAGGUUGAAGCUAAUCCUAGCUCUGGAAGUAUCGUAAAAAUCAACUUUGUUGAAGGUUAGUUCUUUCAUUUUCACUUUCGUUGGCAUUUUUUAAUGUGUUUUACACGAGUAUGUUGGCUAACAAGUAUUUAUUUCUUUAGGCUUUCCAUUCCAAUAUAUGAAGCACCAGAUCGGAGGACACGAUGAAAAUAAUUUUUCAUACAGUUACAGUUUAAUUGAAGGUGGGCCUUUGGGGGAUAAGCUUGAAAAGAUUAGCUAUGAGAACAAGUUUGAGGCAACUGCAGGUGGAGGAAGUAUUUGCAAGAGCUCAAUGAAAUUCUACACUGUUGGCGAUAAUGUUAUCACUGAAGAUGAAAUCAAGGCUCGCAUUAAAGGGAGUGAGACAGUUUACAAGCCUAUUGAAGCUUACCUCUUGGCUAAUCCCGAAGCCUGCAACUAGGAUCUAGGUUGCUUUGAAAUCUUAUGCUUGCUUUUAAAGAAGAGUUUGAUUUUAAUGUUGUGCUUUUGAU